AGCUUUGAACAUUGGCAGUAUCAUAGCCAGUCAGGUUUAUCUGAGGUGUGAUUACUGCUGAUGGAAAACUUUUCCUGAUACCCUGCCAUGAUGACUUGUAAUGCAGUGAGCACUGGCAAUUUUUGACAGUCUCCAUGGAGA
Gorilla gorilla gorilla (western lowland gorilla) is the source of this 141-nucleotide small nuclear RNA. Its record names the gene U4. It matches the Rfam family "U4 spliceosomal RNA". Rfam says of the family: U4 small nuclear RNA (U4 snRNA) is a component of the major U2-dependent spliceosome. The record is from Ensembl. Lineage: Eukaryota; Metazoa; Chordata; Mammalia; Primates; Hominidae.